This 318-nucleotide ribosomal RNA is filed under the name Paenibacillus sp. YN15. Its description in RNAcentral is "Bacterial large subunit ribosomal RNA". It matches the Rfam family "Bacterial large subunit ribosomal RNA", at positions 1578 to 1896 of the family's 2925-position model. The record is from Rfam by way of RNAcentral. Lineage: Bacteria; Bacillati; Bacillota; Bacilli; Caryophanales; Paenibacillaceae.
UUAGUACCCGAAGGUCCUGUACUCACGCUGCCAAGAAAAGCCUCUAGCCAGGCGAAGGUGCCCGUACCGGAAACCGACACAGGUAGGCAAGAAGAGAAUUCUAAGGCGCGCGGAAGAACUCUCGUUAAGGAACUCGGCAACAUGACCCCGUAACUUCGGGAGAAGGGGUGCCCCGGUAGAGUGAAUAGCUCGAGGGGGCCGCAGUGAAAAGGCCCAAGCGACUGUUUAGCAAAAACACAGGUCUGUGCGAAGCCGCAAGGCGAAGUAUACGGGCUGACGCCUGCCCGGUGCUGGAAGGUUAAGGGGAGCGGUUAGGGG